Molecule: long non-coding RNA, 2162 nt
Filed under: Lathyrus oleraceus (garden pea)
Lineage: Eukaryota; Viridiplantae; Streptophyta; Magnoliopsida; Fabales; Fabaceae
Description: Pisum sativum (pea) long non-coding RNA (PSAT_LNC003700)
Source: RNAcentral
UCAAAAUAAUCACAUUAUUAUAGGAUAAAUAGGAUAUUGAAUGAAUCAAUUGCUAACAUUACUAAAUUGUAUAGCAUGAUAACCAAACAUGAUUUAUAUUUAUUUUACAAACUGUGACAAACCAUAUGUACCCACACUCCACCAUGUAUCAGCAUGUUAACUAUCCCUUUGCACACAUAUUAACUCAAUUGAAUUUUAAAACAAAAACAACUCCAUUAAAUGCGGCAUAUUCUAUUUUUUCAAUUGAAAACCAAUUAAUAAGGAAAAUGAUUUCUAUAAAAACUUAAAGAUUAAUAGUCAUUACACUUGGUGGAUUCAACCGUUGCGAUUUUGAAUCAAAUUGUAUUUACUUUUAAAAUUAUCAUCCCAAUAGUUACAUCCAAAACAUUUCCUUCCAUGAAUACAUUUUAUUAAAAUAAAAUUCAAGUGAAUUGGAAUAAAACUAAACUUAAGAACAAAAAAUCAACUCGGGAUUUAUUUAACUCUAAUUUUUUCAAAAAAAAUGCAAAGAUAGUUUGUCAAUAAUAUUGAAGCUUAUUUUUUUUAUGGCACUCAAACAACAACCAGUAGUAGUGACUCCUGCAAGUGAUCCAGAACUUAAACUUUAAAUCUAAUGUUACUCUAUCUUAAGCUGCCGAUUCAUUAUAACCACAAUAUACAAAUUGUUAUCACAAUACAACAGCAACAUAAAUCGUUACAUAUUAACAUUGCAAUCAAUUCGGCAUAUGCAACGCAUAAUCAAAGCAACGCAGGGUCGAAUCUCACCGAAUCGGAACUAAAUCAAACCAACAAAUCUCAUAAAUUCGACAGCACAAUGAAAUUGAAGCAAAACAUAAUCCAACUCGAAAUCAUAGAUGGCAAAUGAAAUUAAAGAGAAAAAAUUAAGCAGCAAGUCAUCCUUUUCUUACAGAACUCAUUGACAGCACAAUCAGCCAUAUUAAUAACAACACAAUUCAGCUCAGAUUUGAACAAUGAAUUCGGCGGUCCUAAAUAUAAAAUCAUGAACCAUUGACUGAUAGCUUAACCACACAAUUUCCUGUUUUUUCUACUUAAACUGUACAGAAACUAAUUAACCCAAAAGUUGGAAUAAGCCUGUCAAAAAAACUUCAAACUACGAAUCAUAACAACAGCCAGCAAUUACUACACACAAUACAUCAUUGGUUUAACUAAAAAAAAAUACAGAAUGCUGUAAACAGGCAAAACUUUUGAUGAGUUCAGAUUAUUACCAACAUAAAUGACGAUAACCAACCGCUGCUUUUGAGGUAUGACGGAAUUUGAACCGAAAAUGGGUCGGUUUGAAAGCAGGACCAAAAGAGUACCCCUCGUUUACAUCCGAACAGCAGAUUUUGUUGUUUUUCUGUCAGCGGCUUGCUCGAACUUCCUGCUAAUCUUUUAAAUCGACUUCGGCAUCCAAAAGCUUCCUUAGUCAGAUUUACCGCUACCGAUACCGAUUUCAAAACCCCACUUCAGUAGUCUUGACUCCAAAUUGUGACGGCGAGGGUUUUGUGGAUUGCGGAGGGAGAGAACAAUGGUGGAGAUAAUGACGAUGAGGGUUUCGGAUGGUGGUGGCCGGAAUCGAGUGAGGUUUGAGGGACGGUGAGGCGAGUUUUGAAGAUGAAAUGAACGACGGCUGUAGGGUUUCGCGAUUGUUCGUCGGAAAGGAGAAGAGGAGUUGUUGUGAGAUUGAAGGGUGGCCGUGGCUUCGUGGAGAAUAUGAAGAGCGAUGGUUGAGAGAAUAUGGCGUUUCCGGCGGUGAUUUUCAGUGAGGGUUUCGGGGAUGAGAGGGAUUUGAGAGUUAGACUGAAGAGGAAAGGAUUUUAGCGUGAGAUGUGAAGGUGAGCGAGAUGAUGAAGGGCGAUUGAGGGUUUUUGGAGAGUGAAGAGAUUUUUUGUGAUUGUCUGAGAGAUUGUCAGUGAGGAGUGAAUGGUGAGAGAGGUUAUAUGAUAGCUGUUAUUAAUAAUGAGAGAGUGAUGUGAAGAGAAUGAGGGUAACGUGUGAGUGUGGAGAGAGAGAUGAUGGAGAGUGAUUUUGGGAGUGGGCUCUAGGUAGCAGGGAAAGAGAGUCUAUGUAUGUGAGUGGAGAGAAAACGUGUGAUGAGGGAAGAAAAAGAUAUAUUUUUGAUAUCCUUUUGUGGGUUGUCAAAGAAUCCAAUGCUAAAACUU